RNAcentral lists this ribosomal RNA (435 nucleotides) under uncultured bacterium. Its description in RNAcentral is "bacterial SSU rRNA". It matches the Rfam family "Bacterial small subunit ribosomal RNA", at positions 30 to 469 of the family's 1533-position model. The record is from RNAcentral.
AUUGAACGCUGGCGGCAUGCCUUACACAUGCAAGUCGAACGGCAGCACGGGAGCAAUCCUGGUGGCGAGUGGCGAACGGGUGAGUAAUAUAUCGGAACGUGCCCGGUCGUGGGGGAUAACGUAGCGAAAGCUACGCUAAUACCGCAUACGAUCUACGGAUGAAAGCGGGGGAUCGCAAGACCUCGCGCGAUUGGAGCGGCCGAUAUCAGAUUAGGUAGUUGGUGAGGUAAAGGCUCACCAAGCCAACGAUCUGUAGCUGGUCUGAGAGGACGACCAGCCACACUGGAACUGAGACACGGUCCAGACUCCUACGGGAGGCAGCAGUGGGGAAUUUUGGACAAUGGGGGGCAACCCUGAUCCAGCAAUGCCGCGUGAGUGAAGAAGGCCUCGGUUGUAAGACGUCUUUGUUCUAGGAGAAACGGUAGAGGGACGUAA